RNAcentral lists this ribosomal RNA (492 nucleotides) under uncultured archaeon. Its description in RNAcentral is "bacterial SSU rRNA". It matches the Rfam family "Archaeal small subunit ribosomal RNA", at positions 366 to 859 of the family's 1478-position model. The record is from RNAcentral.
GGCGAUAAGGGGACCUCGAGUGCCAGGUUACAAAUCUGGCUGUCGUGAUGCAUAAAAAGCAUUGCAUAGCAAGGGCCGGGCAAGACCGGUGCCAGCCGCCGCGGUAACACCGGCGGCUCGAGUGGUAACCGUUAUUACUGGGUCUAAAGGGUCUGUAGCCGGCCGGAUAAGUCUCUUGAGAAAUCCAGCAGCUCAACUGUUGGGCUUUCAGGAGAUACUGUUCGGCUCGAGGCCGGGAGAGGUGAGAGGUACUUCAGGGGUAGGGGUGAAAUCUUGUAAUCCUUGAAGGACCACCAGUGGCGAAGGCGUCUCACCAGAACGGACCUGACGGCAAGGGACGAAAGCUAGGGGCACGAACCGGAUUAGAUACCCGGGUAGUCCUAGCCGUAAACGAUACUCGCUAGGUGUCGGCCACGGUGCGACCGUUGUCGGUGCCGUAGGGAAGCCGUGAAGCGAGCCACCUGGAAGUACGGCCGCAAGGCUGAAACUUAA